ACGAACGCUGGCGGCGUGCCUCAUACCUGCCAGUCGAACGCUUCUUUCCUCCCGAGUGCUUGCACUCAAUUGGAAAGAGGAGUGGCGGACGGGUGAGUAACACGUGGGUAACCUACCCAUCAGAGGGGGAUAACACUUGGAAACAGGUGCUAAUACCGCAUAACAGUUUAUGCCGCAUGGCCUACGAGUGAAAGGCGCUUUCGGGUGUCGCUGUUGGAUGGACCCGCGGUGCAUUAGCUAGUUGGUGGGGUAACGGCUCACCAAGGCCACGAUGCAUAGCCGACCUGAGAGGAUGAUCGGCCACACUGGAACUGAGACACGGCCCAGACUCCUACGGGAGGCAGCAGUAGGGAAUCUUCGGCAAUGGACGAAAGUCUGACCGAGCAACGCCGCGUGAGUGAAGAAGGUUUUCGGAUCGUAAAACUCUGUUGUUAGGGAAGAACAAGGACGUUAGUAACUGAACGUGCCCUGACGGUAUCUAACCAGAAAGCCACGGCUAACUACGUG
Molecule: ribosomal RNA, 507 nt
Filed under: uncultured bacterium
Lineage: Bacteria
Description: partial 16S ribosomal RNA
Rfam family: Bacterial small subunit ribosomal RNA
Source: RNAcentral